Molecule: ribosomal RNA, 253 nt
Filed under: uncultured bacterium
Lineage: Bacteria
Description: partial 16S ribosomal RNA
Rfam family: Bacterial small subunit ribosomal RNA
Source: RNAcentral
UACGAAGGGGGCGAGCGUUGUUCGGAAUUACUGGGCGUAAAGGGCGCGCAGGCGGCUCUGAAAGUCAGAUGUGAAAGCCCCGGGCUUAACCUGGGAACUGCAUUUGUGACUGGCGGGCUAGAGUAUGGCAGAGGGGGGUAGAAUUCCACGUGUAGCAGUGAAAUGCGUAGAGAUGUGGAGGAAUACCGAUGGCGAAGGCAGCCCCCUGGGCCAAUACUGACGCUCAUGCACGAAAGCGUGGGGAGCAAACAGG